Molecule: long non-coding RNA, 538 nt
Organism: Ornithodoros turicata
Lineage: Eukaryota; Metazoa; Arthropoda; Arachnida; Ixodida; Argasidae
Exons: 3
Source: RefSeq, a predicted model, not a curated record
UUCCUUCCGUGUGAUACCGCUUCGGUAAUGAGCACUUCUGGAGCCGACAUCCGCUACAGUUUCCUUCGACUGUUCGUAUGAUUGUUGGAAACAUAGCAGAAGUCAGUGCCAUAGAUUACCCGUCGCCGUUGUACCCAAGGACGAGAGUCGAAUACCAGAAAGGGCCGCCGAGCAAUAUGAAGCCUGUGCUUUCCCUCUGUCUCUUUGGACUGGUGACAUUCCUUUUAUCCGAAGCCCAUGCUACGAAAGAUCACGGUCCAUCUGUCCCCACCUGCGGCCCUCAUGAGGUCUGGACGGGAUGCGGACAUCCAUGCCCAGAAAUCUGCGGGCAACCGCCUCCCCCUUUUUGUACGUUAAACUGCAUAAGGAGAUGUGACUGUGAACGAGGCUACAUACGAAUGGGUAGUGAGGAUGGACAGUGCAUCCCACGCUUCGCGUGCUUGAUUCACCCAGAACCUCACAAGGAUGACCGCCGCUAACUACCUGAGAAAGACCGAAGUGUAACUCGUUCACAAAUAAAGAGAUGAAAGCCUUUCCA